UUACAUUUGUCGGUAAUUUUAUUAUUUAUUUGCACCUGUUAGAAUAUUUCAGCCAACAUGACAGCACAACCAACCAACAAAAAGCAUCUUGUAUCCAUUGUGUAAGCUGGUGUAUGUGCUGGUGCAUAUCCUGAUUUUCAGGAAAUGCAUGUGAAACCGUUAGCCACCUGGAAUUAUUUGUUUUAGAAGUCUAGAAUAUUCUUUGUAUGUAAUUGCUUGUAUAGUAUCUCUGUAUAUAUAUGUUGGAUGUAAAGAAAAGUAAAAUAUUCAAAUACAAAAAUAUCAGUUCAAUUCUUUACUUGGUAUCAGAGCCAAUAUGGCUAACACCGGUUCAGGAAGUCAUCCAGCUCCAAUUGAUUCAAGCACAGCAUCAUUCACCCAAGUUGCUGCAAAUCAGAGUUCACCAUUUGGAAUGAACCUUACUCAGACUCCAUAAGUAAAACUCGACAGGAACAACUACUUGCUAUGGAAAAAUAUGAUUAUGCCAAUAAUCAAAGGGCAUAACCUAGAGGGAUAUUUGCUGGGGACAAAGCAGUGUCCACCAGAAUUCCUAGCCACUCAAACCACUACUGGUCAAGGAGAAGCUGUAGAAAUGACUCAGAAUCCUGAGUAUAAUAGGUGGAUCUCAACUGAUCAACUGUUGAUUGGGUGGUUAUACUCAUCCAUGACCCCAGAAAUAGCAAUGAGAGUCAUGGGAUGCAACAGUUCAAGCAAGUUAUGGACUGCAGUGGAGGAAAGCUAUGGUGUACUGAACAAGUCAAGGGUCGUGUUUCUCACUGGAGAACUACAAAGGAUGAGGAAAGGCACUAUGUCUAUGGAUCAAUACCUCACCACCGUCAAACAACUGGCUGAUAAUCUGGAAAUAGCUGGGAAAGCUAUUGACCACAGUGAUCUUGUAACUCAGGUUUUAUCAGGGUUGGAUGAAGAAUACACACCUAUAGUGGUACAAGUUAACAGCAGGGAUAAUAUAUCCUGGCAUGAGCUGUCUUCUGUGCUGAUGACAUUUGAAAGUAGGCUUGAGUAUUUGAGUCAAGUCAGGGACAACUUUGCAUCACUGAAUGUUGGUCAAUCAAGUGUUCAACUGGCCCAAAGAGCUAGCUCAGGUGGUGGCAGAAUUUUUAGAGGUACCAACAGAGGUAGAUCCUUAAAUUUCAGAGGGAGAACGAGAGGUAGAGGUAGAGUAGGCAGGCAAAAUGAAAUUAAAGGCCCUUGCCAAAUCUGUGGACUCAACAACCACUCAGCCAGCUGGUGUUUUAACAGGUACGAUGACAGAUACAUGGGCAGCAGACCAAGUAAUCAAAACCAUCAGAACAACAGCCCAGCUCCUUCUGCAUAUGUGGCUUCACCAAGAACUGUUGAAGAUCCAGCCUGGUUUGCAGAUUCCGGUGCAAGCAAUCAUGUAACAUCCGACAAAGGUAAUCUGUAUACAGUCAAGAAAUAUGAAGGUAAGGAAAAAUUGAUAGUUGGUGAUGGGAAGUCAUUACACAUUGCACAUAUUGGAAAAGGAAAUGUUCCCACAGUUGAUGAUAAGUCUCUUACACUAAACAAAGUAUUGCAUGUGCCUUCAAUUAAAAAGAAUUUAGUUAGUGUUUCUCAACUUACAAGUGAUAACAAUGUAUUUAUGGAAUUUUUUCCUGAUUGUUGUAUUGUUAAGGAUCUGCAAACGAAGAGGACUCUACUGCAAGGAAUGCUUAAGGAUGGGCUGUAUCAGCUAAGGUUGCCAAGGUUCAAGCCAAAACUUGAUACUAUAGAGUCAAACCACCAAAAUAAUCCCAACUGCUUCACAGUGAAAUCCAAUUGUGAUGAGUCAACCAACGAUGUCAAAGUGCCAGAGUCAGAACUUGAUAUUUGGCAUAGGAGACUAGGCCAUCCUUCGAACCAUGUGUUGAGUCAUGUUUUAAAGUCCUGUAAUAACUUUACCAAAGCUAAUGGAAGUCCAACUUUCUGUGAAUCAUGUAAACUUGGCAAAUCUCAUGCAUUACCAUUUAAUACAUCCUCGUCAUAUGCAUCAAGUCCACUAGACCUUGUACACACAGAUGUCUGGGGACCUGCACCGUUGAAUUCUACCUCAGGUUUUAGGUACUAUAUCAUCUUUGUUGAUGACCACAGCAGAUUCACCUGGAUAUACCCUAUGAAACACAGAUCCGAGGCUCUAAAUAUCUUUAUUCAGUUCAAAAAAUUAGUUGAAAACAAAUUGGAAAGAAAGAUUAAAACACUUCAGUCAGACUGGGGAGGAGAGUUUAGAAACUUUGACAAAAUUGCAUUAGAAUCAGGUAUUGAACUUAGACACUCAUGCCCAUAUACCUCUGCACAAAAUGGCCGGGCAGAAAGGAAACAUAGACAUGUUACUGAGACUGGACUAACACUUCUAGCUCAAGCUCAAAUGCCUCUAUAUUACUGGUGGGAAUCAUUCAAAACAGCAACCUACUUGAUAAAUAGGCUACCUACUCCUAUACUUCAGCAUAAAUCACCAUUUCAAGCACUAUUUGGGAAAGACUUUGAUUAUAAAAUGCUAAAAACCUUUGGUUGCACCUGCUACCCCUGCCUUAGACCUUACCAAAAGCACAAAUUCAACUUCCAUUCUCAAAGGUGUGUCUUUCUUGGCUAUGGUGAUUCACACAAAGGUUAUAAGUGCCUAAGCUCAAGUGGUAGAAUCUACAUAUCCAGACAUGUUGUGUUCAAUGAACUGGAAUUUCCAUUCAAAUCUGGUUUUAUUAACAAAUCAGUCCAGUCACCAACUUCUGAAACUGUCAUGAGUCUUCUUCCCUUUGUUGUUGAGUCCAGUCACAAAACAAUUCCUCAAAAUGUAACUGAUACAGUCCAUCCUGGUGCAUCACUUGCUGCAGACUUCUCUAACAAUGAAAUAGAAACUGAAGUUGAAGAUGAAGUGGAUAUAGAAAACAAUGAUGCUCAGAGAAGUCAAGAACUAGUUGGUAAUGAGGUGGUCGAAGUCCAACAAAGGAGAUGUGAUACUGAAAAUACAGGAGAUGAUGUAAACCUUCAGGUCCAAAAUGCAACACAGAAUACUGGACAUCAGAUGAUCACCAGAAGCAAAGCUGGAAUCUUCAAACCAAAAGUUUACGCAAAUCAUGUACAGGACAAAUCAGUAGAAACCGAGCCACUAACUGCUAAUGAAGCACUACUGAGUAAUGGCUGGAAGAAGGCUAUGCAAGAAGAAUACAGUGCUUUGAUGAGGAAUAAAACAUGGACCUUGGUACCUCCUAAGCCUGGGAUGAAAAUAAUUGGCAACAAAUGGGUAUUUAAGUUAAAGUAUGACUCAGAUGGCAGAAUACAAAGGCACAAGGCAAGAUUAGUUGCCAAAGGAUUUCUUCAAACACCUGGAGUAGAUUUUGGAGAAACAUUCAGCCUCGUCAUCAAGGCAUCAACUUUGAAAAUCAUUUUAACACUUGCUGUGUCUAAAGAUUGGGACAUCAGACAAGUUGAUGUGAACAAUGCUUUCUUGAAUGGGAAGUUGAGUGAGGUA
RNAcentral lists this long non-coding RNA (3484 nucleotides) under Olea europaea subsp. europaea. The record is from RNAcentral. Lineage: Eukaryota; Viridiplantae; Streptophyta; Magnoliopsida; Lamiales; Oleaceae.